RNAcentral lists this ribosomal RNA (720 nucleotides) under Nonomuraea sp. 7-185. Its description in RNAcentral is "bacterial SSU rRNA". It matches the Rfam family "Bacterial small subunit ribosomal RNA", at positions 66 to 808 of the family's 1533-position model. Lineage: Bacteria; Bacillati; Actinomycetota; Actinomycetes; Streptosporangiales; Streptosporangiaceae. The record is from RNAcentral.
GCGGAAGGCCCUUCGGGGUACUCGAGCGGCGAACGGGUGAGUAACACGUGAGCAACCUGCCCCUGACUCUGGGAUAAGCCCGGGAAACUGGGUCUAAUACCGGAUACGACCGCCUCCGGCAUCGGGUGGUGGUGGAAAGUUUUUCGGUUGGGGAUGGGCUCGCGGCCUAUCAGCUUGUUGGUGGGGUAGUGGCCUACCAAGGCGACGACGGGUAGCCGGCCUGAGAGGGCGACCGGCCACACUGGGACUGAGACACGGCCCAGACUCCUACGGGAGGCAGCAGUGGGGAAUAUUGCGCAAUGGGCGGAAGCCUGACGCAGCGACGCCGCGUGGGGGAUGACGGCCUUCGGGUUGUAAACCUCUUUCAGCAGGGACGAAGUUGACGUGUACCUGCAGAAGAAGCGCCGGCUAACUACGUGCCAGCAGCCGCGGUAAUACGUAGGGCGCAAGCGUUGUCCGGAAUUAUUGGGCGUAAAGAGCUCGUAGGUGGCUGGUCGCGUCUGCCGUGAAAGCCCGCAGCUUAACUGCGGGUCUGCGGUGGAUACGGGCCGGCUAGAGGUAGGUAGGGGCAAGUGGAAUUCCUGGUGUAGCGGUGAAAUGCGCAGAUAUCAGGAGGAACACCGGUGGCGAAGGCGGCUUGCUGGGCCUUACCUGACGCUGAGGAGCGAAAGCGUGGGGAGCGAACAGGAUUAGAUACCCUGGUAGUCCACGCUGUAAACG